AUUGAACGCUGGCGGCAUGCCUAACACAUGCAAGUCGAACGGUAACAGGCCCUUCGGGGCGCUGACGAGUGGCGGACGGGUGAGUAAUGCUUAGGAAUCUGCCUAGUAGUGGGGGAUAACCCGGGGAAACUCGGGCUAAUACCGCAUACGUCCUACGGGAGAAAGCGGGGGACCGUUCGGGCCUCGCGCUAUUAGAUGAGCCUAAGUCCGAUUAGCUAGUUGGUAGGGUAACGGCCUACCAAGGCGACGANCGGUAGCUGGUCUGAGAGGACGACCAGCCACACUGGGACUGAGACACGGCCCAGACUCCUACGGGAGGCAGCAGUGGGGAAGUAUUGGACAAUGGGCGCAAGCCUGAUCCAGCGAUGCCGCGUGUGUGAAGAA
RNAcentral lists this ribosomal RNA (384 nucleotides) under uncultured bacterium. Its description in RNAcentral is "bacterial SSU rRNA". It matches the Rfam family "Bacterial small subunit ribosomal RNA", at positions 29 to 412 of the family's 1533-position model. The record is from RNAcentral.